Molecule: long non-coding RNA, 35186 nt
Filed under: Manihot esculenta (cassava)
Lineage: Eukaryota; Viridiplantae; Streptophyta; Magnoliopsida; Malpighiales; Euphorbiaceae
Description: long non-coding RNA (MESC_LNC001648)
Source: RNAcentral
AAGAAUUUUGGAAAAAUUUAGAGUAUUCUUGUAUUUCACUCUUCAUCUUUACAAUUAGUCUACAUGACUAUUUAUACACAAAGAAUUAUAUCUAAACAGGAAGCAAAUAAUCAAAUAAUAAUUAUAGAGAUAAUUAAGGACCCUAAUCAAAUCAAAUCAUAUCCCUAAAAUCAGUUAGGAUCAACAAAUAAGUCCACACUCCCCCUCAAGUUGGUGCAAAAAUGUCGCACAUUCCCACCUUGCAAAUCAGAUUAUGGUAGAUGUUAUUGUUGAGCCCUUUAGUAAACACAUUCACAAGUUGCCCAGUAGAAAUCACAUUAACUAGGCUCAAGACACCGUCUGUUAAUUUUUCUUUAAUGAAGCGCCGAUCAAUUUCAAUGUGCUUCGUCCGGUCAUGUUGGACUGAAUUUUGUGCUAUAAUUAUAGCAGCUUUAUUGUCACAAUACAAAGUUAUCUUGUCUCUCUCGAGCAACCUCAACUCCUCCAAUAACUUCUGUAACCAUAAGAGUUCACACACAUCUUGGGUCAUUACUCUGUAUUCUGCUUCAACACUUGACCGAGCAACAACACUUUAUUUUUUGCUCCUCUAGGUGACAAAGUUUCCUCCCACAACUGUGCAGUCUCUCCUGUUAUCGAGAGAUCCUGCCCAAUCUGCAUCUGUAAAAGCUUAAACUCGGAAGUGACCAUAUUUGGAGUAAAGAAGCUAUUUUCCUGGCGCAGACUUUAGAUGCCUUAAGAUGCAAAGUACAGCCUGCAUAUGAGUCUCGCGAGGGUCAUGCAUGAAUUGGUUGACUAAGCUAACAGUAUAGGCUAUAUCCGGUUGAGUGUGAGAGAUAAAUCAAUCUUCCUACCAAUAUCUGGUAUCUUCCAACAUCCACGAACUCACUAGUUCCUGCUUCCAGCUUGUGAUUACUUUCAAUGGGAGAUUCGGCCGAUUUACACCUCAUCAUACUAGUUUCUUCCAAAAGAUUCAGAAUGUCCUUUCUUUGAGAGAUGAAAAUUCCUUUUUCUGAUCUAGCCACCUUCAUAACUAACAAAAUAUUGUAGUUUUCCUAGAUCUUUGAUUUCAAAUUCCUGAGCCAACAACCUCUUUAGUUGAGCCAUUUCCUCUUUGUCAUCGCCUGUCAUCACUAUAUGAUCAACAAACACAAUAAGAAGGGUGAUCUUACUCUUGUGAUGUUUGAUAAUCAGAGUGUGAUCAGCAUUGCUUUUGUUGAAUCCCACAGCGAUUGUGGAAAAGGGCAAUGUGCCCCUUAUAUGGGCCAUAAGCACUCCUCCCCCUUGAGCUAGCUUUUGAGUGAGUUAAGCUUGACCCAAAUUUAAUAUGGUAUCACAGCCUCCCCAUCCGAUGUUGGGUCUCACAUAAAUAUGUCUUCUCAUCAGCGAACCCAGGAGAAAUUUCCAUGAACACUUCUUCCUCUAAAUCUCCAUGGAGGAAAGCAUUCUUCACAUCAAACUGUUGCAAGUCCCAGUCCAAGUUGGCUGCACAGGAUAACAGAACUCUGAUUAAGUUCAUUUUUGCAACUGGGGCAAAUGUCUCUUAAUAAUCCACUCCAUAGGUUUGGGUGAAUCCUUUAGCAACCAAUCUGGCUUUAUACUGUUCAAUUGUGCCAUCAGCUUUGUGUUUCACUGUGAACACCCAUUUACAGCCAACGAGUUUCUUCCCAGGUGAGAGAGUGUCAAGCUCCCAAGUUUCAUUUUUAGCCAAUGCUUUCAUCUCUUCAAUCAUUGCUUCCUUCCAUUUAAGAUCUCCAAGAGCUAGAUAAGGCAAAGGCUCUAUACUCUAUAGGAAGGAGACAUGGAUUCAUAAGAAACAAAGUUAGAAAUAGGGUGUUUAGUAUAAGAUCUGACCGCUUUUCUUUGUGCAAUAGGUUUAUCUAAGUCAUUGGAGCAUUCAAGAGUUGUGGAUAACUCACGAGAAGAAGAUUCUUGAGUGGGUAACUCACCAGAAGAAGAUUUUAGACUCUAAAUAGACUGCAUAAUGGCUUCUUCUGCCUUGUCUCUCCUCGAAUACCUUCUCAAAUCUGGCUUGUCCAAACGAUCAAUUCUCUCUCCCUGAUUGGACAUCUCCUCUGUCUACUAGAACUCAAACUCUCUAGUUGAACCAUAUCAUCCGGAAUCACAGAAUUCGAGAUACCUCUUCUUGCUCAUUAUUCUCCCCCUGAAGAGGUGAGUGGGUAGUACUAAAGUAGGGUUCAGUUUCUCGAAAUGUAACAUCCAUACUGACUAAGUAUUUCUUAGAGGGAGGGUGAUAACACUUGUAUCCCUUCUGUGUCGGAGAAUACCCAACAAACACACAUUUAAGGGCCUUGGGAUCCAAUUUCCCUGUCAUCCUAGUAUGGACAAAGUAAACUCACCCAAAUACUUUUGGUGGAACAACGUAUGAAUUCUUCCCUUGUAGAACCGCCAAAGGGCUCAUAAAGUUAAGGGUCUUGAGAGGCAUUCUAUUGAUAAGAUAAGCAGAUACAAGAAUUGCACCUCCCUAAUAUGCUUUGGGUAGAUUCAUGGUGAACAUAAGAGAUCGAGCUACCUCCAAUAGAUGCCUAUUUUUCCUCUCAGCAACGCCAUUUUGAGCAUUAGUAUAAGGACAACUAGUCUGCUGUACUAUCCCAUUAUUCUCCAAAUAAGCAGAAAAGCUACUAUCCAUGUAUUAUCUUCCAUUGUCAGUUCUCAAAAUUUUCACCUUAGCAUCAAAUUGAGUAUAAACCAUCUUAUGAAAGGAUUGAAAAUAAGAAAAUACAUCACUUUUAGCUUUAAUUAAAUAGACCCGAGUCAUUCGAGUGCAACAAUCAAUAAAGGUGACAAACCAUCUGAAACUUUGAUGAAAAGAAGAAAAAGAGAGUAGAAGAUUUGAGAGAAAAUAUUUAAUUAUUCCCAUCAAGCUAAUUGGGGUAUAUAUAUUACUUACAAGAGUACAUACUAGGUAAGAAAAUAAAUUAAUUCCCUAAUUAUAGCAUAAUCAUAUCCCAAUCAUAUCACACAAUCAUAUCCCUAAUUAUCACUACAAAUCAAGGCUAUUUACAGAAAUAAUCUCAAUAUACAGAAAUAAUCUCAACACUCCCCCUCAAGCUGGAGCUGGAGCGUACAUAUCAUAUGCUCCAAGCUUGUUACAAAUAUACUCUAUUUGUGAUCCUCGAAGUGAUUUUGUGAACACAUCAGCUAGCUGAUCAUUUGAGUUGACAAAGCUAGUAGAAAUGCAUCCGGACUCAAUUUUUUGCCUAAUAAAAUGGCAAUCCACCUCUAUAUGCUUCGUCCUCUCAUGAAAAACUGGAUUUGAUGCAAUAUGGAGGGCAGCUUGAUUAUCUCAUAUCAACUUCAUUUGACCAGUAUCGCUAUAUUUCAAUUCCUUAAAGAGUUGCUUCAACCAAAUGAAUUCACAUGUUGCUAAAGCCAAAGCUCAAUAUUCUGCUUCUGCACUUGAUCUUGCUAGCACGCUCUGUUUUUUACUUUUCCAGGAUAUAAGAUUCCCUCCAAUCAUAAUACAAUAUCCUGAAGUAGAUCGUCUAUCUGAAGAAGAACCUACCAAGUCUGCAUCAGAAUAGCCAACAAUUUGUGAGUGACCCUUGUCCUCAUAGAGUAGUCCUUGUCCUGAAGCUCCUUUGACAUAUCUAAGAAUGCGAAUGACUGCAUCCCAGUGACUACUGUAUGGAUUUUGAAGAAAUUGACUAACUACACUUACAGCAAAAGAAAUAUAUGGUCGUGUGAUAGUGAGAUAAUUGAGCUUGCCAACCAAUCUUCUAUAUCUAGCAGGAUCUUUAAGUGGUUCCCCCUGUUCAGGAACCAAUUUGACAUUUGGAUCCAUGGGAGUAUCCACAUGUCUACAGUCUAACAUGCUUGUUUCUUCCAAUAUGUCCAAAGCAUAUUUUCGUUGAGAAAUUGCAAUACCUGUUUUAGACUGUGCCACUUCAAUCCCUGAGAAAUACUUCAGUUUUCCAAGGUCUUUAGUUUGGAAAUGACUGAAUAAAUGUUGCUUAAACUGAGAGAUUCCAUCAUGGUCAUUUCCUGUAAUGACAAUAUCAUCAACAUAGACCAUCAAGUAGAUGCAUCUAUUGCCAUUAUGUCGAAAAAACACGAAAUGAUCAAAAUCACUUCGAGACAUUCCAAACGGUUGAACUACAUUGCUGAAUCGUCUGAACCAUGCUCUUGGAGACUGUUUUAGACCAUACAAUGAGCGUCGAAGAAGGCAUACUAAGCCUGACUCCCCUUGAGCAACAAACCCCGGAGAUUGCUCCAUAUAGACUUCUUCAGCGAGUUCUCCAUGAAGAAAGGCAUUUUUAAUGUCCAGUUGAUGAAGGACCCAGUGAUUAAUUGCAGCCUGUGAGAUAAGGAGGCGAACAGAAGCUAUUUUGGCUACGGGAGAGAAAGUAUCACCGUAAUCAAACCCAUAAAUCUGUGUGUAACCUUUAACUACAAGGCGAGCUUUAAGGCGAUCAAUUUUGCCGUCAAGUCCCACCUUAACUAUGUAAACCCAUCGACAACCAACAAUAGACUUACCAGGUGGUAAAAAGACCAGUUCCUAAGUUCCAUUAUUAUGAAGUGCAGUCAUCUCCUCAACCAUUGCAUUACACCAACCAGGAUGAUCCAAUGCUUCUCUAACUGUCUUGGGUAUAGAAACAGCAGACAUGGUGGAAAUAAAAGUAUAAUAGGAAAGAGACAAAUGAUGAUAACUCACAAAAUUAUAACUGGGAUGAGGAUUGCGAGAAGAGCAAAUACCUUUUCGGAGAGCAAGAGGAGGAGUAGUUGUUGCUACUGAAGGUAUGACCGAAGUAGGUGAUGAUGGAACUGGAGGUAAGACACUAGAAGUACCUACAUCAGGGAGAGAAGUAUCAUUGUUAGUAGCAAAUGGGUGGGGCUGACGAGUGUAGACCUGAAGGGGUGGGUGGACUGACAUGAGGUGUAGGUACAGGCAAAGCGCUAGGAACAAAGGUUUUGUGCGUUGGACUAGAAGAAAAGUAAAGGGAAGUUUUAAAAAAGGUAACAUCUGCAGAGACAAAAUAUCUGUUAGUAGUGGGAUCAUAGCAUUUGUAACCUUUUUAAAGCCGAGAAUAGCCAAGAAAGAUGCAUUUAACUGAUUUGGGCUGGAGUUUGUCUUUACCAGGGGUAUGAUCAUGAACAAAACAUAUAAAUCCAAAAACUCGCAGUGACAACUAGUUGGAGGUCUGGUUAGGAAAGAGAACCGAAUGAGGACUCUGAUACUGCAAAACAGAGGAAGGCAUACGGUUUAUCAAGUAGCAAGCAGUAAGGACCGUCUCGCCCCAUAAACGUAGCAAAACAUUAUGAUGUAUGAGUAAGGUGUGGGCAGUUUCAAUGAAAUGCCAAUUUUUACGCUCGGCAACACCAUUUUGUUGAGGUGUAUGGGCACAAGAAGUCUGGUGAGUAAUACCCUGAGUAGACAAGAAAUGAGAAAAAGAUGAGGAAAGAUAUUCUCGUGCAUUAUCACUAUGCAAAACCUUAAUGCGGACACCAAAUUGAUUAUGUAUCUCAGCACAAAAUUCUUGAAAAAUGGAGAAUAACUAAGAGCGAUUCUUCAUUAAAAACAACUAAGUGCAACGAGAAUAAUCAUCAAUAAAAAUAACAAAAUACUGAAAUCCCAAAGUUGUACUGACACAACUUGGACCCCAAAUAUCUAAAUGAACAAUAUCAAACAUUGAAGUGGCCUUGUUAUUGACUCGUUUGGGAAAUAAAGCCCGAGUUUGUUUCUCAAGUUGACAUGACUCACAUGAUAAAGAAGACAGAAGAAAGACUCGAGACGAUUUUCUGCAAUUUGAGAAUAUUAGGAUGUCCCAAACGGUUAUGAAUAAGCUCAGCGGACGUGGUAGAAACAAAAGCAACUGAAGAGGUGGAAAGGUGGUACAAUCCUUGUGACUCAGAUCCUGUUCCAAUCAUUCUCCCAGUACUUCGGUCCUGCACAACAACAGAAUCAGCAGUAAAAGUUACUGAACAAUUAAGAUUUUUGGUCAAUUUGCUAAUAGAGAUUAAAUUAUAUGAACAUUCAGGAGUGAACAAGACAGUAGUUAAGGAAAUAGAAGGAAGAAGUUGUACAUCUCCUAUUCUUUUAACUUGAGUUUGUGAACUAUUAGCUAAGGUGACUUUAGAUGGUGUAGAAGGUGAAACAAGAGUAGAGAAAAGAUUGUGAUUACCAGAGAUGUGAUCAGAAGCACCAGAGUCUAGGAUCCAUGGACCAACAGGUGAAGGCUUAGUUAGACAAGCAAAGGAAUUACUAGAGUGAGCAAUGCUGGUAGAUGGAGGGUGUUGCUCAGCUGCUUGGAACUGCAAGUAUUCUUUAUAGUCCUCUCCAAUUAAAGUAAUUGAAUCUAAGUCCUGAGAUUUAUUGGUAGGUUGUGGAAGCAGACCUUCUUCAUUAGAUUGGGCAAGAUAGGCUGUCAGCUUGCCAGUAUUAUCAAAAUUGAUUGGACCGUGGUGGUAGGUCAUGUAGUGCCCAACAUGCAUCCUGUGUGUGGUACAGCCAAAACUGAGGAUUCCAUAUCUGUAGCAUCACCCUUACUAAGGGAAAUACGUAAGAGCCUAGCUGACACAUUUUCUAAAGUUGGAAUAACUGAACCAGUCAAAAUUUGACCUUUCAUAGAGCAAAGGUCAUAUCACAAUCCAAUUAAUGCCAAAACCAUAAAAAAUUUAUCAUGUUGUCCUUGCGCAUCAACAUCAUUAGUAAGGGGCAUAAGAGAAUUAAUUUCAUCUUUCAGAGUUUCUACUUGACCCAAGUAACUAGCCAUAUUCUGAUGAUUUUAUUAUAAGUGAACCAUAUCAGACACAACCUUAUAGAUGCGUUGUAUAUCAUUAGUAUACAAUAUUUUGGCUUUAGUCCAAACCUUACAAAAAGUUUUGCAAAAUUGAAACAAAGCAAGCAAUUUUGGAUCUAACGAAUGCCAUAAAAGACUACAUAGUUGAGCAUCAACCUAGCAUCAAUCUUUUACUCAUAUCAGUGGCAUUUUUUGUUAAAUGAUCAUUAUACCCCUGUCCUACAAACCAUAAUUCUACGGAUGUAGCCCAAGACACAUAAUUAUUACUACCUUGCAACUUAACCGUAGCAAUUGAAAAGACAAGUUUAAGAGACUCAGAACCUGUAUCGAGGGUGUUUUGCUUCUUAGACAUGUCGAGAGAGAUUAUGAAACAACAAGGAACCAAGUAGGGACCCGAAUCUGCAAAAAGGAGCCGAAUCUGCCAAAAAGAACGCCUGUGAACAGUAAAUCUGAAAACCGGACCUACUGGGCUGGGGUCGCCAGUGUGAAACGGUCGCCGAAAAGUGUGCACGUGCCGGUGCGUGGCCAGAAGCAAGCUGUGCAGGGUGGCGCGUGGAGGCGCGUCCGGAUGCGGUGCUUCGCCGGAAAAUAAAUCGGAGGCCGGCGUCGAGAAUGGGCUGGGUGGUGAGACUAACUGAUUUUCAAAAAGUCAGCAAAGUAAGGUGGCAAAUCUGCCACUCAAAGGUGAACCAAAUUUCUUGGCUCUGAUACCAUGAAACUUUGAUGAAAAGAAGAAAAAGAGUAAAAGAUUUGAGAGAAAAUACUUUAUUAUUCUCAUCAAGCCAAUUGGGGUAUAUAUACUACUUACAAGAGUACAUACUAGGUAAGAAAAUAAAUUAAUUCCCUAAUUAUAGCCUUAAUCAUAUCCCAAUCAUAUCACACAAUCAUAUCCCUAAUUAUCACUACAAAUCUAGCCUAUUUACAGAAAUAAUCUCAAUAUACAGAAAUAAUCUCAACACCAUCGAUUACCAGACAAGGAGACAGUUUGAGUAGGCCCCCAAACAUCAAAAUGAAUAGUCACAAAAGGAAUUUGACUUUUAUAAUGACUCAAAGGAUAGAAUGUUCUAGUGUGUUUAGCAUACUCACAAGCAUCACAAAACAGAGAAUCAAAUUGAGUUCUAGCAAAUAAAUUAGGAUAAAGUUUUUCUAAGACAAAAAAAUAUGGAUGCCCUAACCAACUGUGCUACUGUAUUAUUUCCUUAUUAACAUCCUUAUUUUCUCCAAAACAGGCUUGAGAUAUCGAAGAACCUGGAUCACCCUCCAACAUAUAUAAGCCAUCAUACAGCCUACCAUUGUCAAUCCUCUUUCCUGUGCCAAGAUCCUGAAUAACACAAUGUUCAGGAAAGAAUUCAAUUUUACAUUUAAGGGCAUUGGUGAUAGCACUGACAGAUAAAAUGUUGACAGGAAAGUGGGAAACAUGAAGGACAAAUGAUAAUUUAAUGUUGGAUGUGCAAAUAGCACAACCUGUUCCGAAUAUGGGAGUAAAAGAGCAUCAGCAAUUCUGACACUAUUUUUGGUUAGAGAAGGAAAAUAAUUGAGAAAGCUUUUAGAAGAGCCUAUCAUGUGUUUAUUCGCACCAGACAUGGAACAUUAUUAAGAGAGGAAACUUUACCUGACUUUACAAAGUUAGAUGUGGCACCAGAGGAUGAGUAAUCAGAGUUAGGAAUCGAGAUCCUUUUACCUUCUGCCAUGGUAAAGAUUUAUGAACCGCGAAAUUAUAGGAGGUACCCAAGGUUGUACACACGAGAGCCCAAUCGAUUCACCAAAAUACUGGGUAGAAGCACGAGAAGGCCGGAAAAAUGGUCGGAAUCAUCGCCGGAGUGAUCGAAGCGGCGAAGCAGCGUCAGGCGAUUGGUCACGCGCCGGGAAGCGAUGAGACGCGCGAGGCACGUGAGUCUCACGCGCAGGCUUUUCCGACGUCGGAGCUAGGCGAUCAGCCGGCGACAGUCCGGCAAUUCUCCUGGUGUCGGCAGUGAGAGGAGGAAAGGCUCCUAAAUGGGUUAGUACCAAAAAGGGUAGAUCUAGGGUUUUGAAACCCUAAAGAGGAAAAAUUGAAUUUGAACCCUAAAAUCAAGAAAAGGCUAUGAUACCAUGAAGAAUUUUGGAAAAAUUUAGGGUUUUUUUGUAUUUCACUCUUAAUCUUUAUAAUUGGUUUACAUGACUACUUAUACACAAAGAAUUAUAUUUAAACAGGAAGCAAAUAAUCAAAUAAUCAAAUAAGUCAACAUAUUAAUUUACAUGACUCAUUAGCUAUUACCCAAAGGAUAUGAAAACAGAUCCUUAAUAGGCUCUGGAUAGCACAUAAAACGAGUAAAAGCAUUAUCUACGUUAGCCUCCGUUUGUUUGCAAAAAAUAACUUGUAUUUGAAAAAUGUUUUCCAUGAAUAAUAUUUUUCAAUAAGAUAACUUAUUUUCCAUUCUUAAAUUCUAAUUUAAAAUAUAAAAUAUAUUUAACAAAUUUAUAUAUAAAAGUUCUAAUAAGAUAAUCAAAGUGUGAAAAAUGACUUUCUCUUUUAAAAAGAUAAAAUUAUAGUUAGCUUCACAUAGAUUAAGAAAAAUGUAGUUAAUAUAGUUGAAGCAAUAAACUUUAUAUUGUUUUCCUAAAAUGCCCCCCACUUAUAAUUUCCAUUAUGGAAUCACGCUUGAAACUAAUAAAUUUUACUUGUUCAAGGUAUAUUAAAUACAGGUAUAUUAGGAAGAUAAUAAAUAAAUUAUCAUCUAAAAAAGGAAAGUAACCUAUGAUUUAGGAAAAACGAAAAAGGAAAGCAAGCCUAUUUUGUGGGUGUGAAGGGGUAUAUCAAAUCAUAUUUAUAAAGCAAUAAUUAGGUUUUACCAAACAUUACCAUCAUGUAUCAUCAAAAUACCAAUAUUUAUAAUUGCUAUCCCUAACAUAACAUCCUAAAGUAUGGAGCAUAAAAUAUUGAAAUUAUGAAGCAAGAUAAUGUUUUGACUAGUUAGUAGUUAUUCAACUUAACAUUUUUAAAUGUAUUUUUGUCCUCGUGGACCUAGUCAUUGCUCAUUGGAUGCAGGGUAUCAAAUAACGGCCGUUACGUAACGUAACGGCCGUUAUGUAACGGUAUCAGGGGGGGCCGUUACCCGUUAGGCCGUUACCCAACGGCCCCCCCUGAAUUGCGGCCGUAACGNNNNNNNNNNNNNNNNNNNNNNNNNNNNNNNNNNNNNNNNNNNNNNNNNNNNNNNNNNNNNNNNNNNNNNNNNNNNNNNNNNNNNNNNNNNNNNNNNNNNNNNNNNNNNNNNNNNNNNNNNNNNNNNNNNNNNNNNNNNNNNNNNNNNNNNNNNNNNNNNNNNNNNNNNNNNNNNNNNNNNNNNNNNNNNNNNNNNNNNNNNNNNNNNNNNNNNNNNNNNNNNNNNNNNNNNNNNNNNNNNNNNNNNNNNNNNNNNNNNNNNNNNNNNNNNNNNNNNNNNNNNNNNNNNNNNNNNNNNNNNNNNNNNNNNNNNNNNNNNNNNNNNNNNNNNNNNNNNNNNNNNNNNNNNNNNNNNNNNNNNNNNNNNNNNNNNNNNNNNNNNNNNNNNNNNNNNNNNNNNNNNNNNNNNNNNNNNNNNNNNNNNNNNNNNNNNNNNNNNNNNNNNNNNNNNNNNNNNNNNNNNNNNNNNNNNNNNNNNNNNNNNNNNNNNNNNNNNNNNNNNNNNNNNNNNNNNNNNNNNNNNNNNNNNNNNNNNNNNNNNNNNNNNNNNNNNNNNNNNNNNNNNNNNNNNNNNNNNNNNNNNNNNNNNNNNNNNNNNNNNNNNNNNNNNNNNNNNNNNNNNNNNNNNNNNNNNNNNNNNNNNNNNNNNNNNNNNNNNNNNNNNNNNNNNNNNNNNNNNNNNNNNNNNNNNNNNNNNNNNNNNNNNNNNNNNNNNNNNNNNNNNNNNNNNNNNNNNNNNNNNNNNNNNNNNNNNNNNNNNNNNNNNNNNNNNNNNNNNNNNNNNNNNNNNNNNNNNNNNNNNNNNNNNNNNNNNNNNNNNNNNNNNNNNNNNNNNNNNNNNNNNNNNNNNNNNNNNNNNNNNNNNNNNNNNNNNNNNNNNNNNNNNNNNNNNNNNNNNNNNNNNNNNNNNNNNNNNNNNNNNNNNNNNNNNNNNNNNNNNNNNNNNNNNNNNNNNNNNNNNNNNNNNNNNNNNNNNNNNNNNNNNNNNNNNNNNNNNNNNNNNNNNNNNNNNNNNNNNNNNNNNNNNNNNNNNNNNNNNNNNNNNNNNNNNNNNNNNNNNNNNNNNNNNNNNNNNNNNNNNNNNNNNNNNNNNNNNNNNNNNNNNNNNNNNNNNNNNNNNNNNNNNNNNNNNNNNNNNNNNNNNNNNNNNNNNNNNNNNNNNNNNNNNNNNNNNNNNNNNNNNNNNNNNNNNNNNNNNNNNNNNNNNNNNNNNNNNNNNNNNNNNNNNNNNNNNNNNNNNNNNNNNNNNNNNNNNNNNNNNNNNNNNNNNNNNNNNNNNNNNNNNNNNNNNNNNNNNNNNNNNNNNNNNNNNNNNNNNNNNNNNNNNNNNNNNNNNNNNNNNNNNNNCAAGUGAAGAUAUUGGGUGGAAGUUUGCAACACCUACAGGGAAAAAAGGAGAACUGAUUUGUAAUUUCUGUGGGAGAAAAGUCACAGGUGGAAUAACGAGAUUGAAAUUGCACUUGGCUAAUAUACCUGGUCAAAUUGCAGGUUGUCAGAAAGUUUCUUCCCAAGUUAAGAAGGAUAUGGCCGCUUUCCUGAAAGAAUACCGAUUAGCUAAAAAGGAUAAAGAAAAAAGAGAAAGAGAAUUAGAAGAAGAAAUUAUGAAUAUAAAUAGAAUCGAAGAUGAUGAAGAGGAGGAGGAGGAGGAGGACAUCGAAAUGGAAAUGGCGAAACGGGCGAGCAUGAGACAGUUGGAAGAAGAUGAAUUUAGAAGGAGAACUGGAUCUAGAUUUGAUGUUGGUGGUAGUAGCAGACAAGUGUUGGGUCGUUCUGCUACUACACGUGAGAGAGGUAGAGAAGCACAAAGAUAUGCAGAAGUAUCUACACCGGCAUCUCGGUUGGCUGCCACAGAAGUUGAGAUAGAGAGAAGCAGAGCUCAACAAAAGCAGCCAAAAUUAAAAAGUAAAUGGUUGAAGGCACAGAAGGAGAAAAUGUUGAAAGCAUUUGGAAAUUUUGUUAUACAUAAUAGACUUCCCUUCAGUAUUGUUGAGUCACCGUGGACAAAACCACUUUUAAGAACAGCAGCAGAAAUCGGGCCUAAUGUAUCUCCACCUAGUGCUUAUGAAAUUGCAGAAGUUUAUUUGAAAAAUGAGUACAAUGAGAUGAAAAAAUAUAUAGUCUCAUUUGAUGGAAUAUGGAAGGAGAGGGGAGUUACCAUAAUGUGUGAUGGUUGGAGUGGGCCAACACGUAUGAGUAUAGUAAAUUUCUUUGUCUACUCAAACAGAGGCACAGUGUUCCACAAGUCUGUUGAUGCAUCCAAUGUGGAGCAUAAAGAUGGAGAAUACUAUUUUAAAAUUAUGAAAGAAGUAGUGGAAGAAAUUGGCCCUCAAAAAGUUGUCCAAGUGGUAACGGAUAACGAAGCUGCCAUUAAAUUAGGAGGGAAGAAACUAAUGGAGAAAUUCCCUAAUCUAUAUUGGACUGCUUGUAGUGCUCAUUGUAUUGAUUUGAUUUUGGAAGAUAUUGGAAAGAAGAAGAGUGUGAAAAAAAUAAUUGACCAAGCCAAGGUAAUUACUCAAUUUAUUUAUAAUCAUAAUUGGGUAGUCAAUUAUAUGAAGAAAUUCACGGACAAUAGAGAUAUUAUUCGACCUGGCAUCACUAGAUUUGCCACAAACUUCAUUGCUUUAGAGUCUAUUGUCCGUUAUAGGGUGGGGCUAAGGAAUAUGUUUGAAUCGGAGCAAUGGAUAAUGAGUAAAUAUGGGCAAGCAACAAGUGGUCCAGCGCAUGAAGCUAAGAAAAUUGUGCUUGGCUUAGGCAACGAAGGAAGAAACUUUUGGGAGAGGGCACAACAAAUAAUGAAAGUUCAAGAACCUCUCCUGAAGGUUUUAAGAUUAGUUGAUGGAGAUGACAAGCCAACAAUGGGAUUUAUAUAUGAGGCAAUGGAGCGAGCAAAAUUGGCUAUUCAAAAAAAGUGUAGAAGCUAUUUGGAAUAUUGGAGAAUAAUUGAUCAUAGAUGGAAUUUUCAAUUGCAUCAUGACUUACAUGCCGCUGGUAAGAACAUUAUAUUAUAAUUUGAUAGUUUAGAAAGUUAAAUUGUUAAAUUAAAAGAUAACUUAUUAUCUAUCUUCAUAUUUUAUUUUGCAGGAUAUUUUCUAAAUCCUCAAUAUCAAUAUGGCCCACAUGAUAUUGGAAAUGAUAAUGAGAUCAUGUUGGGUCUCAAAAAUGUGAUUCAACGUCUAGAGGGGGAUUUAGUAAAUCAAGGAAAAGCAUUAAAUCAAGUAAGUAACAACUAACAAGCUAAUUCUCAAGUGUUACUACUAUGUUAGUGUAGUUGAAGGCUUGAAGCUUGAACUGUUGCUUUUGAACUUGAAGUUAACUUACUGGAAUUUAGAACAUGUAGGCCCUACUUUUUCGGGACAAAAUAGAGAGUUUUGGAACAGCUUUGGCGCAAAAGGCAAUUAAGUUCACUAAUCCAGGUACUAAGUUUAUAAAAUAAGUAUAAAUUAUUUUUGUUCGUUCCUUUUUAUAUAGCUAAGUUCAUAAAAAUAAUAAAAAUUUUAAAAUAUUUUGCAGCUGAGUGGUGGAUUAAUUAUGGAGAAAGUGCUCCUGAGUUGAGAAAAAUUGCUAUUAAAGUACUGAGCCAAACAACUUCAGCUUCAAACUGCGAGAGAAAUUGGAGUACAUUUUCUCUCAUUCACACAAAGACAAGAAACAGAUUGAAGUAUCAAAAAUUACAUGCACUUGUCUUUGUGCACUACAACAUGAGGCUGAAAAUCAGAAAUGUGACAAGAAAGAGCCAACAGGAGUUAGACAGGAGCUACGAUCCAAUUAAUUUGGAUUAUAUUUUUGAAGAAGAUGAUCCGUUAAACUCUUGGUUGGAGGAAAGGGAAUCUCCAUUGCUUGAUGGGCAACCAAAUCCAUGGUUAGAUGAUGAAGAGGCGGGUAAUGCUCCAUCACAGUCUGAAUCUGCCACUCAAACUCAAGGACAACAAGGUACUGCUGGUGAUGAUGAUUCUUUUAUUUUAUCCAGCUCUAGUAGUGAUGAUGAUGAUGGUGGUGGUGAUCAAGGUGGAGGAGGAACCACAGUUGAAGGAGGUGGUAGUCGUAGUUCACAAGAUCCACCUAGUCAAAGACAAAGUGGAAUUAGAAUUGCUUCUGAACCAUCUCCGAUGCGUACAUAUCAAAGAUCACGAGGCUCUCAUAGUUCUAGUACUGGUGGUGCUGAAACAUCCCAAACAAGAGGUAAGGAUGUUGCAUAUGAGGAGGAGGGGUCAAUUGAUUCAUUAAAUUAUGGAUACAACGCUGGCACGCAUAAUCCAAAUUUUAUGUAUGGUGGUGGACCUGGUGGUAGCUCAUCAUCUGAAGAUACUUCAUCAAAUUAUGGGUUCCAUGGCCAAUUUAGAGGGGUGCCAUAUCCAACAAAUUAUCCUCCUGCAUAUUCAUAUUACCCCUUAUCAGGAGCAGAGUCAGCUUUAUCAUACCCUCAGCCAACUUAUGGUGAUCCUAAUGAUAUUAUGGGUGGUGAUUCUUUAUUCAGUUUUGAUCCACAACAAUACUAUCAACAUCAGCAGCAUCACCUUAAUGAUCAAAGCUCAGAGAGCCAAAGUCAAGACCAACAAGAACCUGCACGACGUUCUUUUUGGUGGUAGUGAGGUUGGUAAUUUCCUAUAUGGCAUUUAAUUUAAGCUAAAUAGUAAUAUAUUUGAUAUAUUUAUGUUUAUUAUAUAUUUGUAUACAUUGUUCUGAAUUAAAUCUAUUGAUAUCAUAUCAUUUUAUGAACUUUGCAAAUUGAUUUGAAAAAUUUGCGUAGCGCCAGGCCGUUACCGUUACGUUACGGCUGUUACAGACCUGUUUCCGUUAUCCGCGACCGCGGCCGCGAACGCGGCCGCGAUCGCGAUUUAAAACCAUGGGAUGCACUUUGUUAUUCAGAAUAUUCCCUUCAUAACACUAUAAAGUGUCCAAUUGGGUGCAGUGCACCAAGCGUAGAAUUAGAAGAACUUAAAAAAUCACAAAAUAUACAGGUAGAAGAGGGACUUUUGGUACCCAUGUCUCCAAGGCUAGGCAGAUGCCAGAUCAUCUCAAGUUCUUCUGUUGAGAACUAGAGAAGAAUGUAGCUACCUUCAUUACUUGCUGUUGCUCCUUUCCUCUUUCACUUGGCUCACUUUUUGGUAAGGCAUAAGAGUAGGAAAUUUCUUUCAAAUUUCACAACAUAAAAAGAGAAAAUUCCACAUGAAAGUGCAGAUGAAGUAACAAGGACAAAGGGAAAAGCUGGAAAGAAUGUAUCCUUCAACCUUUGAAAUUUUCUUAGAGCAUAAUUGGUUGAUGUUUUUAAGAGCACUGCUUUUGAAAUAAGUACUUCAAGUGCAUUAUUUUUGAACUGGGAAAAUCUUAGUGACUUUUGGAAAACCAGCUUUAUAUUACACCAAGGAAAAGAAAUAAGUGAAAAUGUUAUUUUAAACACACUAAAAGUAAAGUUUUUAAUUCUCAAAAUAUGAAGAAACAGCAGUAAACAAGAGGUAAACAGUCUCUUAAUUUAUAGCUAUUGAUUGGUAAUUUCAGUUUCAAAAAGAUACCUGCAUCUAACUUCACUAAAUUUUAAGUUUUAAAACUGUAAAAAGCAUUUUGACCAACCAAUGGGAAGCUUCUGGCAAUAUUAUCAGCUAGAAUUUCAGGCUUCCUUUUCUACAACCAUUUAUGCACAAAAAAGACAUAUUGGCCAAUCCUGAGGGGAAGAGCAUUAGCUGAUUUUGAUCCGCCUUAUAUACAUGUUUUUCCUAUUGUAUUGUUCAAUCCACCAAAUGCAACAUGUAGAAACUCCUUUUAUCAACUCCAAGUUCCUUAUACCUGAUCCUUGGAUUAAUCCUGCUAAUUGAUUUAUCCAUCAUCACUGACCAUCCAAAUUAGAAUCCAAAAUUUUUCCACCAUUUACUAAGAGGUUAGAAUUUGCUUCAGAAGCAUUUCAACCUAACUUGUAUUUCCAUUACACUGCAGUUUCAACUUAACUUUCAACACCGCAGGUCUACUAAUGUCUGUUUGCAGUGCUGAGCCAAAGCAAGCGAAACAAAUUAAACAAGAGAAAGGUAGCUCUCACAGAUGGUCCUAAUGCAAUCAGUCUAUCCAAACUCACACUCACAACUACAAGACUAAUUGCCUUAUAAUAAAUUACAAACUAAGAGUUUAAAUAUUCAAAUGUUCAUAUUAUAAUGCCAACAAGUCCUGAUGCAUUCAGUAAAAUACUUUAACUAUUUCCACCAUUCAACUCUACAGGCCGCAGCUGAUAAAAAAGGUUAUUUUUCCCUUUAUAAUACUUUAUAGACAGAAAUAUAACAUUUAAGAAAAGAUAGAGCAGAGGAAAUCAGCCAUUGCUUACCCCAUUUCUCUCAUUUCGGGAUUUUUCAGGAGGUAGGUGAAAGAAAUCAGCAUCUGCACGCAUUGGCCAACCUAACCGAAAGCAAUCAACUGACCUGCAAAUCAUACGAUCAUAAAUUAAUCAGUAGAAUAAAUACAUCAAGCAGAGGAACACUGGAAGACAUAAGACUACUACCAGAAGUAUUCAUUUAAAUCAUCAUAGUUUCUCCAUUGAGAAUGCUUUGAUCUCCCCUUUUGACUCCUUUUAGCUUCCUGUCAAUAAUCAACGAACACAAUCAUAAUUAUAUUUUAGACUCAGAAAUAAGGAAAAAGACAAACUUUUAGACCAGAAAUGGAGAAAGAACAAGCCACAUGCAACACCUUUGCAAUCACAUCGUAGAUAGGGGUAACAACUUUUUUCAAGAAUGCCUCUUCUUCACCUCCAUAAGCAGGCUUGACAUUUUCCCCUGUCAUUGGACUGACAUUCCCAGCUAGCAUGCCAUAAAGUUCAAAUGCCAUCUACAAAAAGCAAAACAGACAAGCACCCAAUUACACUUAACAUAAUGCAGAAAUAUAAUAUUUUGUUAUCCUUCACAAUAGAGAUUACAACCUAUUUAUAGAUGAGAGACGGUAUCUAAACAGGAAGGAAAAUCAAGCCUAUGAUUAUACAAUCCUUGAGAUUAAGGAUUAAGUAACUAACCCAUCUAUAUUAAUAUAUUUAUUUCCUAUAUAACCUGUAACACUCCCCCUUAAGUUGGCUCAUAAAUAUUUAUCAUGUCCAACUUGUUAAAAAAAUAUUCUAUUCGAGACCCAUUUAAAGUUUUGGUGAAUAGAUCACCCAAUUGCUCUCCUGACUGGUGGAGAUUAAAUUUUCUUGAAUCUUCUCACGGAUGAAAUGACAGUCAACUUCAAUAUGCUUAGUCCGUCCAUAGUAUACUGGAUUGAAAGCAAUGUGAAGAACAGCUUAAUUAUCACACCAAAGUUUCGCGGGUGAUGCAACGCCCAUACCAACUUCUUUCAGUAGAUGAUUUAUCCACAAAAUCUUACAAGUCGAUUGAGCCAUGGCCCUAUAUUCUGACUCGGCACUCGAUCUAGAUACAACAUUUUGGUUCUUACUUUUCAAAGACACUAGGUUUCCUUACACCGUAGCCCGUAGUCGACCUUAUAUCACUUUUAGAUCCCGCCCAGUCAGCAUCAGAAAAACACUCAAGUGCAGUAUGCCCAUGAUCUCUGUAGAGUAUACCGAGUCCACGAGUCUCUUUUAGAUAACAUAGAAUUUAUUCUAGAGCAACUCAAUAUUUCACCAUAGGUGCAGACAUAAACUGGCUUACAACACUUACUGCAAAAGCAAUAUCUGGUCGAGUCAUCACCAUAAAAUAGUUCAGUUUUCCAACCAAUCUCCUGUACCUCUCUGGAUCAUCACAAGGGUCUCCAUCAUCUUUUGUAAUACAUAUAUUAGUAAUCAUUGGUGUGCUACAUGGUUUAGCUCCCAUCUUCCCAGUUUCUGCAAAUCAAGUAUAUACUUCCUUUGAGACAGGAAAAUUCCCUUUUUACUCCUGAAGACUUUGACUCCUAAGAAAUACUUAAGCUGACCCAAGUCUUUGGUAUAAAAACUCGCAUGCAAGUAGUUUUUGAGAGAAGAGAUCCCUGUACUAUCAUUCCCUAUCAUUCCCUGUAAUGACAAUAUCAUCAACAUAUACAACAAGGAGAAUAAUACCAGUAUCUGAAUUUCUAUAGAAAGCUGAAUGUUCACACUUGCUUUUUUUCAAUCCAAGUUUUUGAACAACUUCAAAAAACUUUCCAAACCAUGCACGGGGACUUUGCUUCAAACCAUACAAAGAUUUCUUCAAAUGGCAAACUUUCUCAUACUCCCCCUGAGCAACAAACUCUGGUGGUUGCUCCAUAUACACCUCCUCUUGGAGGUCACCAUGUAAAAAUCCGUUCUUGAUAUCUAAUUGGUGUAAAGGCCAAUGCUGAGAAGCAACUAGGGAGAUGAAUAAGCGGACUGAGGUCAUUUUUGCACAGAAGAAAAAGUGUCAGAAUAGUCAACACCAUAAGUUUGGGCAUAACCUUUGGCAACAAGACGGACCUUAAGCCUCGCUAUGGAGCCAUCUGGAUUGACUUUGAUGGCAAAACCUAUUUACAACCCACAGCCUUCUUGCCAGAGGGUAAACCAACUAGUUUCCAAGUAUGAUUUUCAUCUACACCCUUGAUUUCCUCAAACAUUGCAUCACGCCAUCCAGUUAAGGACGUAGAAGAAGAAGACAGGUGAUCAUAAGACAAAAAAUUAGCAACAGAAUAGAUAGAUUCACACUGUCGUUUACCUUUACGAAGACUAAUGGGGAGGUCAAGGUCAGUCGGUGGUGGAUCUGAUGGUGAAGAAGAUUCUGGUGCAAGACAUGUAUCAUCAGGUAUUGGUCUCCGAGAGUAAACUUGAACAACUGACGGGUUAACAGGAGGCUGAGUAUUAGGAGAAUGUUACCAUCUAAAUUGUGUAGCAGAAGGCAUACUCGAAGAGGUCCCACCAUCAUAUAUGAUUCUAUAGAUGAGCCACUCAUCAUCAUCAUCCUUUGUGCAACAGGAUAAAAAGGAACUUUCUCGGAAAAAACUACAUCUGUUGCGACCAAAUAUUUGUUGAGGUCUGGACAGUAACACCAAUACCCCUUCUGAAGGCAAGAAUAUCCCAAGAAAAUACACUUUAAAGCUUUAGGAUCAAGUUUAGUCACAUGAGGUCUAACAUCCCGAACAUAGCAAGUACUGCCAAACAGUCGUGGUUCGAGAGGAAAUAAUAGCUUCUUAGGAAAGAGGACAUUAUAAGGAGUAUUACCGUUUAGUACUGCAAAGGGCAUGCGAUUAAUGAGAAAGCAUGCAGUAGAGACAGCAUCAGCCUAAAAUUGUUUAGGAACUUGCAUUUGAAACAAUAGAGCUCUAGUAGUCUCAAGAAGAUGUGGAUUCUUCCUUUCAGCUAUCCCAUUUUAAGCGGGUGUAUCAACACAUGACGAUUGGUGAAGAAUAUCAUAUUGAGCCAUAAGCCUAGAAUGAUUCUGACAUAUAUUCUUUAGCAUUGUCGCUUUGCAAAAUUUUCAGAGAAACAUUAAAUUGAGUUUUGAUUUCAGCACAAAAGGCCGAAAAAUGAGAGAACACUUCUGAACAAUGCUUCAUAAAAUAAAUCCAAGUCAUUCUAGAGUAAUCAUCCGCAAAAGUGAUAAAAUAUCUUAAUCUAGUCUUAGAUCAAACCGGACAUGGGCCCCAAACAUCUGAAUAAACUCAUUCAAAAGCAGACUCACUUAAAGAGAUUCGAUGAUGUUUUGAAAAAUGACAUGACUCACAUCCCAGCAAAGAUACUUAUGAAAUUGAGGGCAUAACUUCUUCAAACCAGUAAAGAAGGGUGUCCCAACCGACAAUGUGCUUCAAACGGAGACACGACAUUGGAGCAGGCAGCAGGCUGAGACACCUAUGCAUCCAAAAUGUAGAGACUCCCAGAUACAUGUCCUUUACCAAUAAUCUGCUUCAUCACAAAAUCCUGAAUGAGACAAUGAUCAGGAAAAAAGGAAACACAACAAUUUAGGUCUUUGGUAAGUUUACUCUCAGAGAUUAAAUUAAAGGCAAGAUUAGGUAAACUUAGUACAGAUUAUAGGGUAAUAGAAGGAGUAGGUUUAACAGUCUCAGAACCCUCAACAUUAUGGGUUGACCCAUGAGCUAUAAUAAGAGGAGAAGGUGCUUUAUGAGAUCAAAAACUAGUAAAAAUAUGAGGAUUACCUGUCAUGUGAUCUGUGGCACCAGAAUCAAUGACCCACUUAUAUGAAGAGGAAAUAAGACACGUUUUACCUGUCUCAGCCGCUACUGAAGACGUUAGGAUAAUAAUAUGGGUCUUACUGUCAAAAACCAUUUCAACCAAAACUCUAUACUCCUUUAUCUUCAAACGAAUUAAAGGAAGAUAACCCAACACCCAAACGGCAAAUGAACCACAGAUUUGACAAGCGGGUUGUAAGGCAACUAAACGCUUCCACCCAACACCCAAACGGCAAACGAACCACAGAUCUGACAAGCGGGUUGCAAGGCAACUUCGGCGUAAAUAUUACCCUAGAUGGGUAACACAAAAGAACAGGAGCCCUAAGUCUCCAAAAAUUUUAAAACUUGACGAGAGAGAGGACUCUGACUCCGUUCGACUACCCGCUUCUUUCAUGUGUAUAUAAAAUAAUUCUAUAAUUUGGCAACUUUGUGCAGUUUUUAUUAUUAUCAACUUUUAUAAUACUCUUAUAUAUUAAAAAUAAUAAAAUAUAUAAAAUAUAAUAACUACGUAUCAAUAAAUUUAUAACUGGUAUUAUUUAAUUAUUAUUAUAAAAAAUUGUAUUAUAAAUAAUAUUAUCAAUUAAAAUAAUAUAAAUACAUUAUUAUAAUAUAUUAAUAAUUAAAAAAAAAUUAUAAAAAAGUGAGUAGUGCCAGGCCUAAAUUAAAGUGUCACAGCCGACAAGAAUGACGGAAAAUUAGAAGAAGCUAGAAAAGCUAGAAAAUUAGAAGCUAAACCUAUUCCUAUAUAUGUCUGACAAAGAAUGACGGAGACCCUUAUGAUGAUCCACAACGAGACACAAGAGGUUGGUUGAAAAGCUGAACUACCUUGUAGUGAUGACUCGUCCGGAGAUUGCUUUUGCAGUAUGCGUUAUAAGCCAAUUCAUGUCUGCUCCUACGGUGAAACAUUGGACCGCUCUAGAACAAAUUCUAUGUUAUCUAUAAAGGAUCCCAGGACUCGGUAUACUCUACACUGAUUAUACGUAUGCUACCUUGAAAAAAUAAGAAGCAAAAUGUGGUACCCAGAUCCAAUUGUGAGAUUCUAUGGAUAAAUCAUCGGUUGAAAAAAGUUAAUUUGGAUGUUAGGUCACCCACAAAACUUUAAUGUGAUAAUCAGGCUACUCUUCACAUUGCUUCCAACCCAUUAUACCACGAACGGAUUAAGCAUAUUGAAGUUGAUUGUCAUUUCAUCUAUGAAAAGAUUCAAGGAAAUUUAAUUUCCACCAGUUGCAGGAAAGCAAGUUACAGGAAAGCAACUGGGUGAUCUACUUACCAAAGCAUUAAAUGGGCUUCAAAUAGAAUAUCUUUUUAGCAAAUUGGGCAUGAUAAACAUCUAUGCUCUAUACUCCAAUUUGAGGGGCAAUGUUAGAGUGUGAAUAUAAUCUAGAGAUUACAUAAUCAUAGGCUAAUUAAUACUAAUUGAUGAUACUUGUUGAGAUUAUUUCUGUAAAUAGCCUAAAUUUGUACUGAUAAUUAGGGAUAUGAUAGUGUGAUAUGAUUGGGAUAUGAUUAGGGUAUAAUUAGGGAAUUAAUUUAUUUUCUUACCUAGUAUGUACUUAUAAGUAGUAUAUAUAUCCCAAUUGGCUUGAGGGGGAUAAUUAAGUAUUUUCUCUCAAAUCUUCUGCUCUCUUUUUCUUCUUUUCAUCAAAGGUUUCAUGGUAUCGAGCCAAGAAACUUGGUUUGCCACUCAAAGAUCUCCCACCUUACUUUGGUGACUUUCUGGAAAUCAGUUAGUCUCAUCACCCAGCUCAUUUUUCACGCCAGCAUCCGAUCUACUUCCUGGUGAAGCACUGCCUGCAAAUCCGGCCUCACGCGCCGCCCCAACCAACCCGUCUCCUGCCACGCGCCGAUGCGCGCACCCUUUUCCGACAAUCGUUUCACGCCGGUGAUUCUUCCUCCAGCCUCACCCGGCGCCGACGACUCCAGCCCAGCAGGUUCAAUCACCUGUUCAGCCCGCCUUCACACGCCCUCCAGCCACGCGCGGAUGCGUGUACCAUCUUCCGACGACCGUUUCACGCCGGCGACUCUUUCUCUAGCAUCGCCCGACGACGACGACUCUAACCCAGUAGGUUCAAUCGCUUACCUAGCCCGUCUAACGUCGGAUUUGCUGUUCACGAGCGCAAAUCCUUAUUUUUUGGCAGAUUCAGUCUCCAUGGCCCAAUCAAAUAUUGCGCAUUCUAGUAAUUCUUUUACUUAUCUAACCAAGUCUUUACCCAUUGGUUCAUGGAUCCUUGACUCUGGUGCUUCUGGUGCUUCUGAUCAUAUCUCUGGUAAUCCCUCUCUUUUCUCUACUCUUGUUUCACCUUCCACACCAUCUAGACUCACAUUAGCUAAUGAUUCACAAACUCAAGUUAAAGGGAUCGAUAACGUAUAUCUCCUUCCUUCUAUCCCUUUGACUAAUGUUUUAUUUACCUCUGACUGUCCAUACAACCUAAUCUCUGUUAGCAAAUUGACUAAAGAUUUUCACUGUUCAGUCAUCUUCACUACUGAAUCUGUGCUUGUGCAAGACCGGAAUACUGGAAAGAUGAUUGGAGCAUGAUAUGAAUCACAAGGAUUGCACUAUUUUUCCACUUCUAACUCUCUGCUUGCUUUUGUGUCUUCCACCCCCGCUGAACUCAUUUAUAGUCGUUGGGAACAUCCAAGUCUGAACAAGUUACAAAAACUGGUUCCUAGCCUCUCUUCCUUGCCAUCUUUAGAAUGUGAGUCUUGUCAACUCGGGAAGCAAACUCGAGAGUCUUUUCCCAAGCGAAUCAAUAAUAGGGCCAGUUCUAUGUUUGACAUUGUUCAUUCAGAUAUUUGGAGUCCAAGUCGGGUUAGUACAACUCCGAGAUUUCAAUAUUUUGUUACCUUUAUUGAUGAGUAUUCUCGUUGCACUUGGCUUUUUUUGAUGAAAAAUCAUUCUGAUUUGUUCCCUAUUUUUCAAAAGUUUUAUGCUGAAAUCCAUAAUCAAUUUGGUGUUUGCAUUAAGAUAUUGCGAAGUAAUAAUGCAAGAGAAUAUUUGUCUUCCUUGUUCACUCAUUUCACUCAUUUCUUGCAUUAAGAUAUUCCGCCCAGUUGUCUCUGCAUGUUUUCAGAUGUAUAUGCUUUGUUCAUGAUCAUACUCCUGGCAAAGACAAAUUCUAACCCAAAUCAGUUAAAUGUGUCUUUCUCGGCUAUUCACGGCUUCAAAAAAAUUACAAAUGCUAUAAUCCUACUAUUAACAUAUAUUUUGUGUCUGCAAGUGUCACCUUUUUUGAAACCUCUCAUUACUUUUCUUCUAGUCCAACACACAAAACUUUUGUCCCUAGCGCUUUCCUUGUACCUCCGACUCCUAUUUCUUCUUUGCCGCAAGUGUCCAUCUCCCACUUCUAUGCCAACUCUUCAAGUCUAUACACGUCGGUCUCACCCAUCUGCUAAUAACAAUGACAUUUCUCUCCCUAAUGCAGGUACUUCUAAUGACUUACCUCCUGUUCCGUCAUCACCUACUUCGGUCAUGAUUUCAACAACAGCAGCUACUCCUCCUCUUGCUCUUCGAAAAGGUAUUCGCUCUUCCCGAAAUCCUCAUCCCAUUUAUAAUUUUAUGAGUUACCAUCAUUUGACUCCUUCCUAUUAUAUUUUUGUCUCUGUUGUGCUGUUGUUUCCAUACCCAAGACAGUUAGAGAAGCUAAUAUCAUCCUAGUUGGUGUAAUGCCAUGGUUGAAGAAAUGAAUGCUCUGCAUAACAAUGGAACUUGGGAACACUGUUGGUUGUCGAUGGGUUUACACAGUUAAAGUGGGACCUGAUGGCAAAAUUGAUCGCCUUAAAGCUCCUUGUAGCUAAAGAUUACACAGAUUUUUAGGCUUGAUUACAGUGAUACUUUCUCUCCCGUAGCCAAAAUAGCUUCUGUUCGCCUCCUUAUCUCAUUGGCUGCAAUUAAUCACUGGACCCUGCAUCAACUGGAUAUUAAAAAUGCCUUUCUUCAUGGAGAGCUCGCUGAAGAAGUUUAUAUGGAGCAAUCUCCAGGGUUUGUUGCUCAGGAGGAGUCAGGCUUAGAAUGUCAUCUUCGGCGCUCUUUGUAUCGGCUAAAACAGUCUCCAAGAGCAUGGUUUGAACGAUUUAGCACUGUAGUUCAACAGUUGGAAAUGUCUCGAAAUAAUUCUGAUCAUUCUGUAUUUUUUCAAUAUAAUGGUGAUAGAUGCAUCUAUUUAGCGGUUUAUGUUGAUGAUAUUAUCAUUACAGGAAAUGAUCAUGAUGGAAUCUCUAAGCUUAAGCAACAUUUGUUCAGUCAUUUUCAAACUAAAGAUAUGGAAAAAUUGAAAUAUUUCUUAGGAAUUGAAGUGGCAUAGUCUAAAACAAGUAUUGCAAUUUCUCAACGGAAAUAUACUUUGUAUAUAUUAGAAGAAACAGGCAUGUUAGACUGUAAACAUGUGGACACUCCCAUGGAUCCAAAUGUUAAGCUUGUUCCUGAAUAGGGGGAGCCACUUAAAAAUCCUACUAGAUACAGAAAAUUAAUCGGCAAGCUCAAUUAUCUCACUAUCACACGACCAGAUGUUUCCUUUGCUGUAAGUGUGGUUGGUCAAUUUCUUCAAACUCUAUAAAGUAGUCACUGGGAUGCAAUCAUUUGCAUUCUUAGAUAUAUCAAAGGAGCUCCAAGACAGGGUAUACUCUAUGAGGACAAGGGUCACUCACAAAUUGUUGGCUAUUCUAAUUCAGAUUGGGCAGGUUCCCCUUUAGAUAGACAAUCUACUUCGGGAUAUUGUAUUAUGAUUGGAGGGAAUAUCCUAGAAAAGUAAAGAACAGAGUGUGGUUGCAAGAUCAAGUGCAGAAGCAGAAUAUUGAGCUAUGGCUUUAGCAACAUGCGAACUCAUCUGGUUGAAACAACUCCUUCAGGAAUUAAAAUAUAGCGAUACUGGCCAAAUGAAGUUGAUAUGUGAUAAUCAAGUUGCCCUCCAUAUUGCAUCAAAUCCAGUUUUUCAUGAGAGGACGAAGCAUAUAGAGGUGGAUUGCCAUUUUAUUAGGCAAAAGAUUGAGUCUGGAUGCAUUUCUACUAGUUUUGUCAACUCAAAUGAUCAGCUAGUUAAUGUUUUCACAAAAUCACUUCGAGGACCACGAAUCGAGUAUAUUUGUAACAAGCUAAGAGCAUAUGAUAUGCACGCUCUAGUUUGAGGGGGAGUGUUGAGAUUAUUUCUGUAAAUAGCCUAGAUUUGUACUGAUAAUUAGGGAUAUGAUAGUGUGAUAUGAUUGGGAUAUGAUUAGGGUAUAAUUAGGGAAUUAAUUUAUUUUCUUACCUAGUAUGUACUUAUAAGUAGUAUAUAUAUCCCAAUUGGCUUGAGGGGGAUAAUUAAGUAUUUUCUCUCAAAUCUUCUGCUCUCUUUUUCUUCUUUUCAUCAAAGGUUUCAAUACUAAUUGAUUGAUAAAGGAUUCUUAGGAGUUGCCUUAACAAUGUCUUGUAAUUUAUAUAUAAACACAUACUUUAAUAGAGGAGACACAAGAUUAUCUAAUUGCUCCUUGUCUUGUUACACAUAUCAUUCAGAACACAGAAUUCGAGAUUACCUCUUCUUGCUCAUUAUUCUCCCCCUUCUCCCUCCAAAGAGAUGAGUUCUCAGAAGGUAAUAUUCAUACUGACAAAGUAUUUCCAUAGAUGGAGAGUGAUAACACUCAUAUCCCUUCUAUGUUGAAAAAUACCCAACAAAUAUACAUUUAGAGCUUUGGGGUUGAACUUUUCCACCGUCCUAAUAUGGACAAAGCAAACACACCCAAAUACUUUUGGUAGAACAAUGUAUGAAUUCUUUCCUUAUAGAAACUCUAAAGGACUCAUAAAAUCAAAGGUCUUGGGAGCAUUCUACUGAUAAAAUAAGCAGAUGCAAGCCAUCUCCCCAGUAUGCAGAUGCAAGCCAUCUUCCCAGUAUGCUUUGCGUAGGUUCAUAGUGAACAUAAGAGAUUGAUCUACCUCCAAUAGAUGCCUGUUUUUACUUUCAGCAAUACCAUUUUGUGCACUAAUAUAACCAUUUUGUGGAUUAAUAUAAGGAAAAUUUGUCUAAUGUACUAUAUUAUUGGACUCCAAAUAAGCAAAAAACCUACUAUCCAUAUAUUUUCUUCCAUCGUCAAUUCUCGAAAUUUUCACCUUAGUAUCAAAUUGAAUACAGAUCAUCUUGUGAAAGAUUGAAAAUAAAAAAAAGACAUCACUUUUAGCUUUAAUCAAAUAUAUUCAUGUCAUUCGAAUGCAACAACCAAUAAAAAUGACAAACCAUUGAAACCAUCAAUUACCAGAUAAAGAAACAAUUUGAGUUGGUCUCCAAACAUCAAAAUGAAUAGUCACAAUAGGAAUUUAACUUUUAUAAUGACUCAAAGGAUAGGAGGUUCUAACGUGCUUAGCAUACUCACAAUAUCACAAAAUAAAGAACUAAAGUGAGUUAUAGCAAAUAAACUAGAAUAAGGUUUUUCUAAGACAAAAAAUGAUGGAUGCCUUAACUGCCCGUGCCAUUGUAUUAUUUCUUGACUGACAUUUUUAUUUUCUCCAAAACAGGCUUGAGAUAUCAGAGAACCUGGAUCACCUUUCAACAUGUAUAAGCCACUAUGCAGUUUACCAUUUCCAACCUCUCUUCCCUAUGAGAAGAUCCUGAAUAAUACAAUGAUCAGAAAAGAAUUUAAUUUUACGAGCAUUGGUGAUAACAGUUAAGAGCAUUGGUGAUAACACCGACAGAUAAAAAGUUGACAAGAAAACGAGAAAUAUAAAAGAUAAAUGAUAAUUUAAUAUUGGGUGCACAAAUAAUAGAAUUUGUUUCGGAUAUGGGAGUAAAAGAGCAAUCAGCAAUUCUGACACUGUUGCCUUUAAAACAACCAGUCAUGUAUAUAUUCGCAUCAGAAUCAAUAAUCCAUAGAAUAGUAUCAAGAGAGGAAGCAUCAUUUGAUUUUAGAAAGUUAGAUGUGGUACUAGAGGAGGAAGAGGUAUCAAUAUGAGACAAGAGGCCCUUGAGACUCAAUUUCAUCAGGGGAAAAGAACUCAGCAGCAUUGUCUCCUUAAAGGGCUCCUCCACAGUUUCUACUAAAUUAGCUUGAGUUCUAAAAGUAUCUCGUUUCCCUCACGGCCUCUAGUGGGACGACCAUGUAACUUCUAGCAAAUCUCCUUGGUAUGCCUUGGUUUUCCACAAUAGUCACAAUGCAAGUAAUCUUUCUCAGAAUUAAAAAGCUGUGGUGUGCUCAAACUAGUAGCCAACCCAGUCUUUUCAACUGGUGCAAUAUAGAGCAUAGCAUGUCGACGACUUUCCUCUUAUUGAACAUAGGCAUGAAUCUCUUCCAGUGAGGAAAAGGGUUUUUCUCUAACACUUGGACCCGAAUUGGAUUAUAUUCGUUAUUCAACCCUACAAGAAAAUCAUAGACCCACUCUUUUUUAAUCAUUUUCCGAAAUUUGAUUGCAUCUCCCGUACAAUCUGUCUGGAAGUUCUGAUAGUAAUCAAGCUCCUGCCGUAAGCCACAUAACUCAGAAUAAAAUUGGGAGAUAGUCAUUUCUCCUUACUUAGCACCAUGAAUCUUAUUACGAAUAUCAUAAAUUUGGACAUCAUUUCCAAUCUUGGAAUAAGCUAAGAACAAUGCCUCCCUUAUCUUUGCAUAAAGUUAAGUAACCAUAUCAUAACAAGAUAAUUAUCUGAAUCCCAUUGAGAAAAAUCUGGAUCACUCUCAUUUGGUUGCUUCUCAUUAUCAGUGACAUAGCCAUGCAGUCCUCUAGCCUUGAUAAACAACAAUCAAGACCUUGACCAAGCAAGAUAAUUGAUUCCGCCAAGUUGUAUGGGACUAAUUUGCAAGGAAGGGUUAUCAGAGUUAGGAACCGAUUACCUUCUACUAUGGCAAAAACAAAUGAACCGUGAAAGAAUAAGAGGUACCCAAGGUUGUACACACAAAAGAACCCAACUAAAUCACCAAACGACCAAGUAGCAGCAAGGGAUGGCCGGAAAUGGGUCGAAAACAGCGCCGGAGUGGACUGGACAACAUGGCAGCAUCGGGCAAUGUCUCGCGCCGGGAAAGAAGGGCGCGUGUGGCUUUUGAUGAAGAAAGGCCCCUAGAUAGGAUAGUACUAAAAAGGUAGAUCUAGGAUUUUUAAAACCUCAAAGAGGAAAAAUUGAAUUUAAACCCUAAAAUCAGGAAAAAGCUGAUACCAUAAAGAAUUUUAGAGUAUUCUUGUAUUUCAAUCUUGAUCUUUAAGUAAUUUAUAUAACUAUUUAUACACAAAAAAUUAUAACUAAACAGAAAGCAAAUAAUUAAAAAAUAAUUACAUAGAUAAUUAAGAAUCCUAAUUUAUGCCUAGAAUAAGUAAUCAAAUCAAAUCAUAUCACUAGAAUCAGUAAAUAAGUCAACAUAAUCAAUCAGCUUAUCAAGAAUUUAUCAACAUUAGAAGCUCAUCCAUACAAGGUUCAGAUGAUAAAAAGUGAAAAAGGCAUGGGUUAAAUACCAUAACUGUGUUCUUUAUAAUAGGCAAAGAAUGACAUGAAUGACAAAUGCAGUUUCCAAGAUGGGACAUUAUUGGAACAUACAUGAUGAUAAAUGUAGCACAGGCAUUCUGGCAUGAAUCUCAAGUUUGCAGCUUCCCCCCAUAUCAAAAGAUACAGACCCAUAUAGAGUAAUUUACGCUGUUGCACCUCCUGCUGUAUGGUUGGCAACCUGCAAAUUUAGAGUGAAUAUGGUAUCAAACUAUCAAUAUAAGCUAUAUAAUUGGACUCCACGACCACCCAACCCCUCCGCUGAAAAAAAUUGAGAGACGAUACUAAGAAACAGAAAGGAUAUGGAUAAUGGAUAAUGGAUAGGCCAAGUCAAUAACAAACAAAUUUUAUUUAUCUAGUAGUUUCUUUCCAGAUUUUCCAUUAUCUAUCUUAUCAUAUUUUCUGUUAUCUUACCCUAAAUCUAAUAAUUGCUUGUACUAGACUUCUACUUCGAUUUGAAGUAUCCAAACCACCGCUGUAAAAGGAGUAUAUUUUAUUCAAUAAAUCAGGUAGAUUUAUUCUAAGAAUUGUGAGAUUGAGACUCUCAUUUUUUAGUCUUGAGGUGUUAAGGGCUCCCUCUAAUGAGCUCUUUUCCUAUUAAUCACCCCAUGACGCGAUCCGAGACCAUAACAACUUGGCAUCGGAGCCUGUUAUCACGGGUGUUUCAACAAAUCUAGAAAAGUUGAACUCUUGAAUGACUUAGCUCAGCAAAUUUCUGAACCAAUUCAAACCUUCAAUAGGGGAUUGAACUAAAACCAAGAUGGAUCAAAUCGCGGCCAAUCAAAUUUUGGUCAACAUAAGAAGAUAGAAGUACUUGUGGUACCUAAAAUGACAAACUAGACUUUCCAUCGUGCGAUGGCACAAAUGGUACAUUAUCAUCCUACAUUUUGAGAUCUAUAAGAGUGGGGAUAGUAGAUCAUGUUUUAAAAGAAUUUGAUUUAGUUUCAAAUGAAGUUACCUUUGAUCCAGACACUCGGAUUUCCACUAUAGGAGAGUCUAUCAAUUGUUUAUGGAUAAUAGAUAGGUCAAAUCCAUAACAAAUAGAUGUUAUUUAUCUAGUAGUUUCUUUUUAGAUUUUCCAUUAUCUUUAUCUUAUCAUAUUUUCUGUUAUCUUAUCCUAGAUCUCACAAUUGCUUCUAUUAGACUUUAAUUUAAUUAAAAGGAUUAAAACCACCACUAUAAAAGGGAUUUAUUUUAUUCAAUAAAACAGGUAGAUUUAUUCUAAGAAUUGUGAGAUUGAGACUCUUUUUUUAGUCUUGAGUUGUUAAAAGCUCCCUUUAAUGAGUUCAUUUUCUAUCAAUCACCCCCAUGACGCCAUCCAUGACCCGGGACCAUAACAAUAUGAUACAAGAAUCCUGCAAUUUCUUUCUCUUUUUUUUGUCACUAACCUCACAUUUAUACUGAAUACUAACUUUAAGCUGCAUUUGGCCAUCUAGAAAAGUGCAAUACGGCAAAGCAAACAUAGAAAUGCGGGAAAAGAAAGAAGAAAGGCUUGGAACCUUGAACAUCCACUUUGUCAUUGGGAUGUUAGGUUAGCAUAUAAAAGGGACGCGAAAAAAUAUAUUAUUUCUGUAGAUAAGGAACCUGAAUAAUUCUUAAAUUCUACCUUCCAUCUGGAUAAACUUUUAACUAGACCUAGGCUAGUUGGAUGCCUAAUUUUUUCUCAUCUUUUCCAUUGCUCAGCUCCUUCUCCCUUUCCUCAUUUUAAAGGACAUUCAGCUCAUAUGCUCCCACAUCCUCCUAUUUUCUAUUUACUCCAUCAAAUAAUAGUCAAAUUUUGAAAAGAUUUUCUCAAUAGCUUAUGAAUCCCUUUCAUAAAUAAGUAAAAUAAUACUCUCUCCAUCCCACAAAGAUAAGCUUGCUUUCUUUUUCAUCUAUCCCAAAUUAUAGGCCAUUUUCCUUUAAGACGAAUUCAUUUCCUUUUCUAUGACAUUGUUCAAACAUACUUUCUUUGAUUGUUAAUUACCUUCCUAAUAUAUCCUUAUUCAAUGUGCAUUUUGAGAAGUAAAAUUCAAUAGUUCCAAGAAUAAUUUAGUAAUUCAGCAACAUGAGUGGAGGGUACUUUAGGAAAGUCAAUAUAAAAUUUAUUGCUUUAACUAUAUUACCUAUUUUUUAUUAAUCCAUGUGAAAAAUAAAUAGGCCUAUCUUUAUGGAACAAAGGGAGUAUAAUCCCAUGCCUAUAAAUUUACCAACUGGAAUAUGCAACAAAUUUCUAUCAUGUAAGAAUUAAGAAAAGGACCAUAUGCAAUUACGAAGCCACUUCCUACUUAUAGUUCAAAUUUAUAGAAGGAACCCUUACCAAAGACUACUUUUUCUAUCGAGGUACUUGCACCAUUUUUUGUAGUUCUUGAAAAGCUUCUUCAUCACUUCUGUCAAUGCACGCUCAUCCAACUAGGAAAAGAUAUGCAUAUGUCACAAGAACAUGAAAAAGUAGUGGUACUCUUGCAAAAAUUUAAUUAGUAUUGCUAACACGAUUUGCAUUAAAUUAAGAAACAGAGCAGCAAUUAGCUUCUUUUCAUGCCUUUUAUUAUAAAUUCCAGAAAAAAGACAGUAACAAAAAACUUUUUCUCGUUCAACCUUCAAAAAAAUUUUACCCUGUAUGCCUUUUUAAAAAAGACAGCAAUUAUCUAGAAAGAGGUGUACAAGUAAUAUGUAACAUGUACACCAGAAUAUCCCAAAUAGUUUUGGUUUAAGGCUUUUUUUUUGUUGUUGUUGUUGUUAUUUUGUCAUCAAAAACCAAAACAUUUGAAGAUCAAACAAAGUGUGAAUGCAAUUCAGCAGUAGACAUACAAACAACAAAAGGAAAAAAAAAUGUAUAAGCAAGGAAAUACAAACAAGAGUAGAAAAAAAUUUACAAGCAAUCCUCUACAGCUGUAAUUGCUCUUAAGUUGUAAACAAAGGGAAGCAUGCGCAAUGUCCUUAACAAUACACUUUUCCAGAUACUAUGCACUAUCCAUCAUGGUUUUAGGGGAUGGCAACUGGAAAAUGUUGUAACCACUAAAAAUAAUUGUCUCAAAGACAAACCUUGGGUUGCUGAUCAGGCUUUGGAAAUUGUCUAAUGUGCACAUUUGCAAGUAAUAAGAUUAAGUGCUCCCUCUGAUUAGCUACAUUAUCCUUCUGCAAAUGCAAUACACACGAUGUAAAUAAUCAAGAAAAAAUGAUAUGGACUUCUAGUCAUAUUCAAGAAACAUAUUUUAACACGUAUAAGAAAAAAGAAUGCACAAAGAAAUAAUUCUUCUUAAUAUGUUCACCUGAAACCCAAACAUUGCCUGAAGCCAAUCUAAAAUAUCUUCAUCUUUUUUCUUCUUGUAGUCCUUGGGCCAAGGAAGACCCCUCGUAUAGCGCAGAGCAAAAACGGCAGCUUGGAUCUACAAGAGACAAAUAGAUAAGACAAGCAUUCAAAAUGGUAGAAGAAAAACUAAAAUAAUUAAAUGCAUACAAUGGUAACAUACCUCGGGAUACCUCAUAAUUGCCUGAUUUGCACUAUCAGGAUCAAGAGGAAGGAUAUUGUAAGCAACAUAGAUCUCAGUCUUCUCAGCAACUUUAUCAUGAGCUUCUAAAAUCUUUACAAAUGUCCACAAACAACAAACCACACAAAUGCAAGCAAUGGUGAGCAAUCAGAUUUUUAAUUGGAUAAAUUUUGGAUUGGAGUAGGCAGAUAUCCACCUAUGAGACAAAAUAUUCAGAAUAACAGGUAAGGAGAUAAUCAAGUAGUGCAAAAGGUUCACCUCACGGUCCACUUCAACAGAUUGUGUCAGAUUAACAGCCUUCAAAACCUCAAAGAGAACAUUAGCAGUUUGAUAAGCCUUUGUAAGCUGAGCACUGAGUUUCAAGAGAAAACCAGCCGUCAAGGACAGUAACUAUCACCCCAAAUAAACUCCCUACUAAGAUAUGCUAAAAGAACAUCUCUCUCUUUCUCAUUAGAGCAAAGAACUUACCGGUCAGCUUUAUCAGCAGUAUUUUGCAAAGCUUGGAUAUAUUUUUUGUAGUAAUGCUGAUAAAAACUCUGCAUUUCCCUUGCAUCACUCUUUUUCACCCUUCCCAUCAAGGUUGGAUCAUUCUCCUGGAAAGAAUUAAAGAAAAUCCACCUAGUAACAAAUAGAACUAAGAGCACAAAUAUGAACUAAAAAGCUGAAGGCAUCACUGAAUUACAAUCCAGAUAAUGUUGUCAUCAAAAUCAUGUACUACAAGACAAAAUGGUCAUGGAUGUUGAGACAUGCAUUUCAAGAAGUGAACAUGCAAAAUCACGUCCUAUCUAUCAAAGAAAUAUAGAUAAAUAAACAAGUUAAUCAGGAAUGCAAAAGAGCACCUCAACAUGCAUAUCCAGUGGACCUCACCCAGAUCAAUAUUUCUACAUUUUCCUUUGCAUUGUUGUUCAUGGAUCUUCAGAACACACAUCAAAUAUAGGAUAGGAACGCUUUUCCCAGACAAAAGAUUUAAGAGUCACAUAUAUAUUAUGUAUUCUCAAACAUCACAUUUAAGGGCCUUCUGUUUCACACACUAUCACCUUCAGAUGCAAUAUUCCCACAGCUUGCAAACAUUAAACUGUUUAGAACUGAGGUCCAAAAUGGUUCCCCCAAGUUAUUUAAUAGUUUCUAAGCUAGCCAAUAUAUACCACUUAAAUUUUUCUUCACCCAUCAAUGUUGCUAAGCCACAAUCUAGGAUGGCUCCGGUACCAAUUGUAAUGGUACCGGUCCAAACUGACCUAAAUAACUUUUAGAUCCAUUUUCCACUUAGCGCAAAAUGAUUAAUCCAAGUUAUUUAAUAGUUUCUAAGCUGGCCAAUAUAUACCCCUUAAAAUCUUCUUCAGCCACUGAUGUGGGACUUUCAGAGUCAAUAUUGCAGAUGUAUUGUCCUGGGCUACCACAAUGGACCAAAACACAAAAUCUAAAACCUAAUCUUCAUUUAAUCAUUCAGAUGUAAUUUUAGAAAAAUAGACGACCAAAACUGCAGCUUAGCAAAGCAAAAUCUGCAAAUAUGCAAAGCUGUUUAUAACCAGUAAUAAUAUUCUAUUAGAAUUUGCACAACUCGCCAAAAGGAAAGUUGAUAUCUAACUCCAAACAGACCAUCUUGCUUUUAUUGAUAUGCCAAAUCAGCCAAUGCAAAUAUAAAAUAAGCAGAUACCACUUCUACAUCCACUGCAAACAUUCACAGUGACAAUGAAGGGAAAUUAUUGUUUCCUUAAGCCAAAUAUUACUAAAAAUAAGACUCAACACAAAAAUGGAACCCUAAAAAAGAAACCCUUAGGGCCUUUUACUUGUACAUAAAAAUAAAUAAAGAAAAGUUUUUCGAUUUUACAUUUUCUCAGCAAACUUCGAUUUUAACUUUCAAUGUAAAGCAAGGGAUAAUAUGGAAAAUGCAUUCACCUAUCAAUGGAAGAAAUCAGCUCUCCAAUUCAAAAAUUUUUAAACAAAAAAUUAUAUCUAUCAUAAUUAUAAAUAAGCUAUUACAAAAUAUAUUUAAAUUUUUAUUUUAUUUUAAAUUUGUGUUAUUCAUUUAUUCUAUAAUAUGAGGAUUAAUUUUUAUCAUUAUAAACAAAUACUUCUACAAAUAAUUUUUUGACUUUAGAUAUGAAAAAAGGACAAUAUCAUUUUGGUCACCAAAAAAUCAUUGUCUUUAAUUUGAGAAAUGAAACCAAGUUAAAGUCAUUCCAAACUGGAAAGUAGUUUUUUAGGGUACGUAAGGAAUCAUUUCUGUUUACAGUUUUUUAUUUCCUUUUUCCAAAAUAAAAAAUAUGAAACUCUCUUCGGAUGUAAUUUGGGUGUUUUAUGUUUUCUUUAUUUUCUUUUCACGUGUCUUCAAAACAUGGAAACAAGCACAUAAAACAAGAAUGGUUGUCUCGUUUUAGUUUUUUCUCUGUAGUACAGUUACAUAUUUUUAGCCCGCCCAUCCACUUGUUUAGGUAAUUUUUGUUAGUUUUUCUAAACUUAUAUACUCCCUCCGUCCCACAUAAUUAGGGCUGAGCAGAAUGCAGUUAAAACUGGAAAAGCAAACAGAACCAUUUUGCACAUACACACACACACACAUAGAAAAGGAACCCCACACCUACAUUGCAUUCUUUCGCUGCCCCUCCCCCUCCACCCAAACUGCUUCUCCUUCUCAUUCUCUACUCAUCUUCUACUCUUUCUCUCUAUUCUUCAUGUCUCUUCUUUUUUUUUUUUUUUGCUUUCUAUGACAAAACUCAUCAACACAUGAAGUGACUCAUAAAACUUGGUUGCCGUAGAUUGAAGCCAAUAAUGUCAACUGGUUUCUCAGUUUCUGUAAGAACAAGUUUUAUGAGAUGCAUGAGGCAUUUAUCUCCUGUUUUGCAUAUUUGUUACAUUUGUUAUGUUGCAAAUUUUCUAGGCUACUUUGUACAUUUGUACAUUGCAUAUUUGAUUAAUCGCAUUUCUAAGUGUAUAAUGAAUUGUUAAAAAAUAUUGUAGAUUGAUGCUUGUUUAGGUAUGUGAUUCACGGGGUUUCAUAUAUUGUUUUCUUUUGCAUCUAGCAAAUGUUCAUGGGUAUUGAUUUCUUGUUUUCAUUUGCAUAUGGGUAUUGGUGGCUGUAGCUGGGAUAGGAAGGAAAAGGGUGGUUGCUGGAAAUAGUUGGUUGCGAUACGGCACCAUUUGAGAUGGCUACUGGGAAUAGAAGUGGCUAGAACCUGUUGAAUCCACAUCGAUUGUGGAAAGGGGUAAUGUGCCCCUUAUAUGGGCCAUAGAGGCUCCCCCCUUGAGCUAGCUUUGAGCUAGCUUUUGGGGUGAGUUAAGCCUGACCCAAAUUUAACAUGGUAUCAGAGCCUCC